GGGUACUCGAGUGGCGAACGGGUGAGUAACACGUGGGUGAUCUGCCCUGCACUUUGGGAUAAGCCUGGGAAACUGGGUCUAAUACCGAAUAGGACUCCGGACUGCAUGGUCUGGGGUGGAAAGCUUUUGCGGUGUGGGAUGGGCCCGCGGCCUAUCAGCUUGUUGGUGGGGUGAUGGCCUACCAAGGCGACGACGGGUAGCCGGCCUGAGAGGGUGUCCGGCCACACUGGGACUGAGAUACGGCCCAGACUCCUACGGGAGGCAGCAGUGGGGAAUAUUGCACAAUGGGCGCAAGCCUGAUGCAGCGACGCCGCGUGAGGGAUGACGGCCUUCGGGUUGUAAACCUCUUUCGCCAGGGACGAAGCGCAAGUGACGGUACCUGGAGAAGAAGCACCGGCCAACUACGUGCCAGCAGCCGCGGUAAUACGUAGGGUGCGAGCGUUGUCCGGAAUUACUGGGCGUAAAGAGCUCGUAGGUGGUUUGUCGCGUUGUUCGUGAAAACUCACAGCUUAACUGUGGGCGUGCGGGCGAUACGGGCAGACUGGAGUACUGCAGGGGAGACUGGAAUUCCUGGUGUAGCGGUGGAAUGCGCAGAUAUCAGGAGGAACACCGGUGGCGAAGGCGGGUCUCUGGGCAGUAACUGACGCUGAGGAGCGAAAGCGUGGGGAGCGAACAGGAUUAGAUACCCUGGUAGUCCACG
Molecule: ribosomal RNA, 700 nt
Filed under: Mycobacterium sp. KLBMP S0004
Lineage: Bacteria; Bacillati; Actinomycetota; Actinomycetes; Mycobacteriales; Mycobacteriaceae
Description: bacterial SSU rRNA
Rfam family: Bacterial small subunit ribosomal RNA
Source: RNAcentral